AUGACAAAAGCCUGUGAUGGAUUUGCUAUAUGUUAACUCACAAUGCCCUUUCCUCCAGAAUUUAACUAUAAGUUAAUACACACCGGAAACCACGCGCAUACACGCCCGUUAAUGGGCUUAGGUAUUAGCGAGUCCUAACGAUGCAUACAAAUGUGCUCUGUGCUCUGUAGGCCCCUCAAGAUUUAUGGGCCUUGAGCUCUCUGAAGCUGUAAACAAGGAGAAAAAAAGAGAAAGCGAGAGAGACUGGGGGAAAGAGACAGAGGCCUGAAUCGCCCCUCCAGAUUGUGGGAGAGAAGGGAUUUUUAUAUUUUUUCCUUGCCUUAGGAGCUCGGUGCGUGUGGGUUUUCGCAUUGGUCUGGGGGUGGUAUGCUGCGUGAAUGCUGGUGUGCGUGGGCAGCGUGUGGUUUGUGUGGUGGGGUAUGAGCACCUCUGCCUCCUUUGAGUUGCCGUGCAAGGGCCUAAACAUAGCAGGCAUUUGUGGACAUAUAUUUGUGUGUGCACUGUGUUAGGUGUGAGUGUCUGCCUGCCCCACGCACGUGUGACAAGGAGGCCUCCCUCUGGGCCAGGCUGCUGUCCCCUGAACCUGGUGAACAAAUCUCUAACAGCAAUCAUAAUAACAAUAAAUAACAUAACUAAUAAAAACAGUAGUUAACAGUCCCUCCCUAGUAGGAUAACAAUAAAAUGUCAGGGGAGGCGUUUUGAGGAGCCAGUGAAGGAGUCACCAUCUCAGAAUCUAAAGGGAAGACUGGAAAGGAAGGAAGUUAGCUUCUUUAAAUGCCUUUGAGGGGCUGGGGUUGGGAAUCCCCUCCCCAGACUGGGUUCUUGGCCCACAGGAGGGGAGGAAAGCCAGGAGGCCACUUUUCUGCUGCUUUUUCUAUGGCGUUUACUCCACAUAUGGGGUGGUUAGUAGCUUUGGGGGCUCUCUGAGAACCCCUGUUUUAAAGAGGAGGCCAAAUGUGCCGAGUCAGGCCGAGGGGCAAAGAAGGACGGGGCGAUGACCACAGUCUCCGGUCCUGGCCGCCGGGCGCCGAAGUGCCCGAGGACGAGCCGCGGGGCCGGGGAGAAAGCAGAAAAAUAUUUAUGGCCGCCCGCCCGGGAGUGAGGAGAGCGGGCGAGUGAGGCUGGGGCUCCUGCAAGUGAAAGUUCCUUUCCUGGAGUCUUUUUAAAAAGAAAGGAGAGGUUGAGGCGCCUUGAAUUUUCCUCCUGGAGAUUAGAGCCCAGCGGAUUUCUGUAAAGGAAGCGAAGACCGAGGUCCGGGUUCCUGCAGUGUCAGCCUCCUUCUCUCCAGGCCUCUCUACUUGCCCAGUUCUCACCCACCAGGACACUGACGGAAGGGGCUUCUGGGCUGCCCCCCACCCACUCCUGCUUGGCUUCCCAAAGUCCAGCGACCUCCAACCCUCCUUGGGGAAAAAAUACCUGUACCCAGGCACCUUAGCCCCCUGUGCUAUGUGACCGGGCUCCCUCAGGAAUAUUGUACAAAGAAGAAGAAAGAACAGCUCACUCGGGAGCCGUGUUUACAUCUAGUUGUACUGAUCCAUCCACAUCUGGAGGGUUUAUUUAUAACUCCUUCUAUAACUCUUUCUAUUCAGAGGCACUGGUGGCUCUAUUGACAGACUGAUGCCUACAAAAUAUUGCUCUAUCUCUAACCAUACCUAAAUGUUCUGUGGUUGUAUUUACAGAUUUAUGCUUGAGGAAAAUAUAAUUAUUUCCAUUGUA
This is a non-coding RNA of Heterocephalus glaber (naked mole-rat), 1716 nucleotides long. Lineage: Eukaryota; Metazoa; Chordata; Mammalia; Rodentia; Bathyergidae. The record is from RefSeq and is a predicted model, not a curated record.